GGAACCUUUGGGAGCAGGCUGUGGGUAGCCCGUUGCAAGAUCUGGCCUCCCUCAGAGGUUUGGUGCCAGGCGUGGCAUGCUGCCAUUGGCCUGCUUCCGAGGGAGUGCCAUCCACUCCUCGGCCUGCUGUGGUCCACACCGAGGACGGAAGGGCAGCGGGGAGAAGCCACGGGAGCGAUCCAAGCGCCGAGAUGAUGUAUGUGCGCAUCCAGCGAAAGAACAAAACGCCACCCAAACAAUCCUCUCCCUUGUGAAAUCGGAGGCUUGAGGCUGGCCUGGGGAUGUGCUCCCCGAACCAAGAAAGAAGGACAAGAAAAAAAGAAAGGCCUGAAAAAAUACACAUGUACACAAAUACACAAAAGCUCCUCCUUCCGGAUCCCAAAAGGCAUGCCUCGCUGCUCUUGGGAGAGGCUCAGGCUAGACACAAGCCGUGCCGGUCCCUGCCAGCCGCUGCCCUUCCACUGCCAGCUGUCAAGCAGGAGGAGGAAGACUGAACAGGAAGAGAUGGGAAUAUUAGGAAGCCAUGCUCUCUAGUGUCCCCCAAAACGAAGCCCAGCAGCCAGAGGGAAGAGCCAUUCCCCGAUAUUUGUUGUUUCCCCUGUGAAGCCCUAAAAUACCUGUGGGCAGCAGAGGGGCUGCCCUACCGGCGAUGGAGAUGGAAGGAGCACUGAGCUAUUGCCUGGGACACAUACUCCCUGGGUGGCCCCCGGGAAAGUCAUCGAAUGCUCAAGCGGUUUCCCCAUCUGCAAAGUGGGAAUAAGAACAACACUUAGGUCCUGCUUACUUGACAGGGUCUGUGUGAGGCCAGCUGAGCUCACUGAGCAACGUGGCAAGGCUUCGGGAGUGGCAAAGGGCCACCCAGAUCGAGGGCGCGGCACCGUAGUGCUUAUGGUGAUUAGCAGCAAAGCGGGUCCUGAGGUCUGCGCUCCCCCUGGGAGGGUGGCUUUACAGGCACCCACCUGUGGCUUAAGAUCUUCUUGGGCCUCCCACGGCUGAUAAAUCACCGCCUGGUAGGUGUGCUUUGUCUGGGCUGCAGCAGGAACAGACAGCCUGCCCUUGGUUGCUGCGGGGGAGAGUGCUCCACUGCCUUCUGCGCCUCCUCUGCCUUCCUCAGUGGGCUGAGAAGAAGCAAGCGCCUUAUCUAUUGGGCUUUCCUGAGGAACCCGCCACCUACCCAUAUGGACACUGGUGAUGCCGAGUCUCUUUCUCGAUCCACACAAUCAUCGGGGUGCUGAUUUAGGUGUCUCCAGCCAUGUGGUUUGUCACUGUCUUGCCACAAAUGGAGAUGCCCAGAGGAACGUCAGAUUGUAUCUCGUGGCGCGGUUUACCAGGAGGCGCUCAACAGUCGUUGAAUAUACAAACUGUCAUAUCUUUGUUUUGUUCCAAAAUAUCCCACAUAUCCGUUGAAAGGAGGCACCUUGAGACUUGAGGGGACCUCUCUGGUGGGGUGGUACACAUCUGGUGAGUGCUUUCGCCUUGGCCAGUGCUGUGCUAAGUGGAUUGGGUACAGUCCUUGCUCUCGUAAAGCCAGCCU
Molecule: long non-coding RNA, 1534 nt
Filed under: Vulpes vulpes (red fox)
Lineage: Eukaryota; Metazoa; Chordata; Mammalia; Carnivora; Canidae
Description: lncRNA (ENSVVUG00000009651.1)
Source: RNAcentral